Molecule: transfer RNA, 72 nt
Filed under: Immersiella caudata
Lineage: Eukaryota; Fungi; Ascomycota; Sordariomycetes; Sordariales; Lasiosphaeriaceae
Description: Cercophora caudata tRNA-Met
Rfam family: tRNA (bases 9-64)
About the family: Transfer RNA (tRNA) molecules are approximately 80 nucleotides in length. Their secondary structure includes four short double-helical elements and three loops (D, anti-codon, and T loops). Further hydrogen bonds mediate the characteristic L-shaped molecular structure. tRNAs have two regions of fundamental functional importance: the anti-codon, which is responsible for specific mRNA codon recognition, and the 3' end, to which the tRNAs corresponding amino acid is attached (by aminoacyl-tRNA synthetases). tRNAs cope with the degeneracy of the genetic code in two manners: having more than one tRNA (with a specific anti-codon) for a particular amino acid; and 'wobble' base-pairing, i.e. permitting non-standard base-pairing at the 3rd anti-codon position.
Source: RNAcentral
AGCUGAGCAGCUCAGGGGAAGAGCGCCGGUCUCAUAACCCGGAGGCCACUGGAUCGAAACCAGUCCAAGAUU